This 253-nucleotide ribosomal RNA is filed under the name uncultured bacterium. RNAcentral describes it as "partial 16S ribosomal RNA". It matches the Rfam family "Bacterial small subunit ribosomal RNA", at positions 524 to 776 of the family's 1533-position model. The record is from RNAcentral.
UACGGAGGGGGCGAGCGUUAUUCGGAAUUACUGGGCGUAAAGCGCGCGUAGGUGGCUUUGCAAGUCGGGUGUGAAAUCCCCAGGCUUAACCUGGGAACUGCAUUCGAGACUGCAUUGCUAGAGUAUGGGAGAGGGAAGUGGAAUUUCCGGUGUAGCGGUGAAAUGCGUAGAUAUCGGAAGGAACAUCAGUGGCGAAAGCGACUUCCUGGACCAAUACUGACGCUCAUGUGCGAAAGCGUGGGGAGCAAACAGG